This is a small nuclear RNA of Mesoplodon densirostris (Blainville's beaked whale), 107 nucleotides long. The record is from RefSeq and is a predicted model, not a curated record. NCBI's taxonomy places the organism in Eukaryota, Metazoa, Chordata, Mammalia, Artiodactyla, Ziphiidae.
AUGCUCGCUUCGGCAGCACAUAUACCAAACCUGGAGCGAAACAGAGAAGAUGAGCAUGGCCCCUGUGCAAGAAUGGCAUGCAAAUUCAUGAAGCGUUCCAUAUCUUU